UACGUAGGGUGCAAGCGUUAAUCGGAAUUACUGGGCGUAAAGAGCUCGUAGGCGGUUUGUCGCGUCUGCCGUGAAAGUCCGGGGCUUAACUCCGGAUCUGCGGUGGGUACGGGCAGACUAGAGUGCAGUAGGGGAGACUGGAAUUCCUGGUGUAGCGGUGAAAUGCGCAGAUAUCAGGAGGAACACCGAUGGCGAAGGCAGGUCUCUGGGCUGUAACUGACGCUGAGGAGCGAAAGCAUGGGGAGCGAACAGG
Molecule: ribosomal RNA, 253 nt
Filed under: uncultured bacterium
Lineage: Bacteria
Description: partial 16S ribosomal RNA
Rfam family: Bacterial small subunit ribosomal RNA
Source: RNAcentral